This 388-nucleotide ribosomal RNA is filed under the name uncultured Acidobacteriota bacterium. Its description in RNAcentral is "SSU rRNA". It matches the Rfam family "Bacterial small subunit ribosomal RNA", at positions 242 to 647 of the family's 1533-position model. The record is from RNAcentral. Lineage: Bacteria; Pseudomonadati; Acidobacteriota.
CAGCUAGUUGGUGGGGUAAGAGCCUACCAAGGCAGAGAUCGGUAGCCGGCCUGAGAGGGCACACGGCCACACUGGCACUGAAACACGGGCCAGACUCCUACGGGAGGCAGCAGUGGGGAAUCUUGCACAAUGGGGGAAACCCUGAUGCAGCGACGCCGCGUGAGCGAUGAAGCCCUUCGGGGUGUAAAGCUCUUUCGUCAGGGAAGAUAGUGACGGUACCUGGAGAAGCAGCUGCGGCUAACUACGUGCCAGCAGCCGCGGUAAUACGUAGGCAGCAAGCGUUGUUCGGAGUUACUGGGCGUAAAGGGUGUGUAGGCGGUUCUUUAAGUUUGCUGUGAAAUCUCCCGGCUUAACCGGGAGGGUGCGGUGAAUACUGAGGGACUAGAGU